UCAGCGGUAGUUCAGCAUUAGCAUAUAGCAUUAGCAUAUCCUAGUCUUAGCAUAUCUUUUAGUGUUAUAAAUACUUAUUUAGUGUUAGCUUGGCUGUUGGAUAUUGUAGUUUAGUUAGUGUUUGGCUGUUAGUGUAAUUGGGAAAGUAUUUCGGGUUUAGUGUUCAUAUCGUCUUAGUAUUGGUGAGAUGGUGUAAUGUAGUAUGCUUGCGGUGACUCUGUGGGCAUUUUACCCGCGAUUCUGCACGUCUCCGUUUGAAGAGGGAGGCUGCCCACCGUGGCUCUUCCGCGAUUUAGAUGCAGCCCACCGACUCUGCUCCCCCACCACGGCGGGCUCCAGUCUGAGGUGAGUCAGCUAAAUAAACGUUUUAACAUCUUCUAAAGACAAUUCCCUACCUAAAUGCAAAGUCUGAGAGACGUGGUUCACUUCCUUUAGCUAGUCAGUCGGCAAUUCUGCAACAGUGGCUCUAACUGACGCAGCACUAGUUGACAGACAGCAUUACAGCGUGAAAUCCAGCUUGUGACCCGGUUCUGUGAGGAAUUCUGUUCAGGAGGUCGCAUUUCAGGCUCUCCACAUCAUGUGUGACUGACUUUUACGUUAUAACAACGAUCACACACUAGGAAUGUUAUAAAGCGCCUAUAUAGGAGAUUCUUUUGUAUGUUAUCUGACUUUAUAAACUCCCAACAACAAUGUGCUUCUAUUUUUUUUUUCAGGCUAAAUCUACCCAAGACACUGGCUGUCAGACUGAUUUAGCUGCAAGAAUGCACUUGUCCAGGCUGAUGUGAAGCCUUCCCUGUAGCAAAGCCAGCCAGAAUGGAGUUCACAGCCGCAGUGUGUCUGGUGACCCACAGGGACCAUGAUGAAAAUUCAUCUUCCAGAAAGUCCCAGAGCGUCCAGACCUCCUGAAAAGACCAAGAUGUAAGGUGUCUGCUGUUGAUUCCAGCUUCCACCUCAGUGACAGUGCAAGCUCAGUGAACUGUUCAAGGUAAAAAAAAAAAUUAAAACAUUUCAGAAUUUUUAAGAUAUUAACAAUUAAAUAAGUAUGUGAUUACAUCAUGACGGAGGCUACUGAUUCUGGCCCUGUGAUACUUGGUGGUGACGUGUGAGCUGAUUCACCUGGAAAAUAACUUUUACAUUAAAUAUUUUGUUUUUGUUAUCAAAAGUAAAUUAACUAAUAACCUGCAUUAUUGCAGGACACUCAGCAAAAUAUGGACUCUACACCAUGAGGCAUGCACACAUUAAUACUCUAUAAGAGCACAUAAGGUGAGCAACACCACAUAUUGUACACUGUCCUGAAUUUGUUUUCUUUCUGCAUCUCAUUAGCCUGGCUGAUCACCUGAUAACUCCUGUCAUCUGGUUAUGACAGCAUGAGGAUGUCCUCACACACCUGUAACCUAUCAGCUCAUCCUGCUGAAUAGAGAGAGAAGAGACAACACCACAUCUCCUGUUCCUGGAAAGCCUUCAGCCAUCCUUCGAUGACUGAGAACCUCCAUCAGCUCUGUCUCCUGUCUGCCUACAAUUAUUAUAAUAAAUAUUGUGUUUGACAA
Molecule: non-coding RNA, 1547 nt
Organism: Nothobranchius furzeri (turquoise killifish)
Lineage: Eukaryota; Metazoa; Chordata; Actinopteri; Cyprinodontiformes; Nothobranchiidae
Source: RefSeq, a predicted model, not a curated record